AUGCAGGGCUUGGCCCUUGCGAUUCAACAUUCUCAUCUCCCGGUGGUGGUGCAAAUGGACUCCUCGGAAGCGCUAUCAUGCUUGACGAAUGGUGCACUUCUUCGCUCAACAUAUGGACAGAUUGUCUUGGAGAUCAAGGACAGCAGGGAGUUUUUUCCUCAAAAGAUCACUAGAUUUCAGAAUAGAGUUGCCGAUCAACUGGCUAAGUAUAGCCGCACUGAGCGUGCCACUGUUGUUUGGCUAGGCUCGGUUCUACCUUGUAUUGAGGACUUGUGGCCUCUUGACUAUAACUCUAUACUCAUUAAAUAA
Molecule: ribosomal RNA, 309 nt
Filed under: Triticum aestivum (bread wheat)
Lineage: Eukaryota; Viridiplantae; Streptophyta; Magnoliopsida; Poales; Poaceae
Description: partial small subunit ribosomal RNA
Source: RNAcentral